This is a long non-coding RNA of Cyprinus carpio carpio, 1212 nucleotides long. The record is from Ensembl. NCBI's taxonomy places the organism in Eukaryota, Metazoa, Chordata, Actinopteri, Cypriniformes, Cyprinidae.
AAAAAGCCGGGAGCAUGUGGCCAUGUCUGGGCAGAAUCCACCAGUCAUGCAAAGAGGACCAUACACUGUAGCACUCAGCAGAAGAGGAAAGAUGGGAACAGAAAGGUAAGCAGCAAGAAUGAUUUUCUGAACAUUGUCAACAUAAGCUCUGUUCAUGUUCCUCCCUCUGCCUGCCGUUCUCUCUUGUUGAAGCAGCACGCCUUGCUGUGGCUGGUCAAAUGGAACCAAGUCAGGUGUUUCUGCAAGAUGGACAAGCAGUGUUUUUACAGGACAAGUGCUCUCAAGCAUCACUGACACUGCUGUGUAACAAACAGAGAAGAGAUGAGACUGCCAGAGGUUCGGAGAUUGAAUGAGAAGAGCAAGGUCACUCCUUCUCCGACUGUUUAUGGAUUAUAACCCAAGUCUGAAAUGAUCUGCUUGGUUUUAUUGGAUACAGUACAGCAGAAGCAGGCAGACACCUACCUUUGUCUCUGUUUCAAUAACUAUUCUUAAACUAGAAACAUUAAUUAAUUGUAUAAGACUGGUUCUCAACUGGUUCUGCAUCGUAAUGACAACAACACAAUAUCAAAACUGUUUGUUCAGCAAAAGUAACAAAAAUGUUACUAAACCGUUAAAAACUACUCACCCUCAGGUCAUCCAAGAUGUAGAUGAGUUUGUUUCUUUAUCAGAACAGAUUUGAAGAAAUUUAGCAUUGCAUCAGUUGCUCACCAAUGGAUCCUUUGCAGUGAAUGGGUGCCGUCAGAAUGAGAGUCCAAACAGCUGAUAAAAACAUCACAAUAAUCCACAAGUAAUACACACCACUCCAAGCACAGAUCAAGCAUUGCUUAUAAGAGAAAACAGUAUUUAAAAAAACAGUAACUGUUGGUGGAUUUUGAUGUGAGAAGACAACACACUGUAAAUCCCAGCUCAUCCAUUACACAAAAUUUUAGUGUAGGGUGUACACAAAUAUUCAAAAAAAUAAAAAAAAUAAUUUUGUACACUUCUUGCAAAAACACAUCCCAUAUUAGCUUGAUAUAUGUUUUAAUGUAAGUUAACAAGUGUUGAUUUCGGAGUUAACUGUACUAAAAUGUAUAAAGCCUAAUGUGUAUGUAUUCAUUGUUUUUAUCUUAAAAGGUAUUCUCACCAAAUAUCCUGAGGUAAAAUUGAUGAAUAAAUAAAGUGAUGAGUGUUUAUUUAUUUAUUUAUUUAUUUAUUGUGUUUAAUGUAUUACUG